GAAAUCAAAGACCACAACAACCUCCAGGCUACCAACAACCACCCUACCAAUAGGAAAAGAAGCCUAACCUUGAAAAGAUGCUCUCAACGUUUAUAUCGGUGUCAAAAACUCGUUUUCAGAACACCGAGACAGCACUUAAAAAUCAACAAGCGUCGAACCAAGGGCUUGAAACUCAAAUAGGCCAGCUUUCCAAACUAAUCUCCG
This 204-nucleotide long non-coding RNA is filed under the name Gossypium barbadense (sea-island cotton). RNAcentral's name for it is "long non-coding RNA (GBAR_LNC001581)". Lineage: Eukaryota; Viridiplantae; Streptophyta; Magnoliopsida; Malvales; Malvaceae. The record is from RNAcentral.